GCGGCUGUGGCGGAACUGGUAGACGCGCAAGGUUGAGGGCCUUGUGUCCCCAACGGGACGUGAUGGUUCGACUCCAUUCAGCCGCA
Molecule: transfer RNA, 86 nt
Filed under: compost metagenome
Description: tRNA-Leu
Rfam family: tRNA
About the family: Transfer RNA (tRNA) molecules are approximately 80 nucleotides in length. Their secondary structure includes four short double-helical elements and three loops (D, anti-codon, and T loops).
Source: RNAcentral